This 254-nucleotide ribosomal RNA is filed under the name uncultured bacterium. RNAcentral's name for it is "partial 16S ribosomal RNA". It matches the Rfam family "Bacterial small subunit ribosomal RNA", at positions 524 to 776 of the family's 1533-position model. The record is from RNAcentral.
UACGAAGGGGGCGAGCGUUAUUCGGAAUCACUGGGCGUAAAGCGUGCGUAGGCUGUUUCGCAAGUUGGAAGUGAAAGCCCAGGGCUCAACCCUGGAAUUGCUUUCAAAACUGCGAGACUCGAGUCCGGGAGAGGAUAGCGGAAUUUCCAGUGUAGUAGUGAAAUACGUAGAUAUUGGAAGGAACACCAGUGGCGCAAGCGGCUAUCUGGACCGGUACUGACGCUGAGGCACGGAAAGCGUGGGGAUCAAACAGG